Long non-coding RNA from Perca fluviatilis (European perch), 4111 nucleotides. RefSeq lists it as uncharacterized. The record is from RefSeq and is a predicted model, not a curated record. The transcript has 2 exons. Lineage: Eukaryota; Metazoa; Chordata; Actinopteri; Perciformes; Percidae.
UAUUAUACAUCCAGGGACGCAUUUUCCUUGCACGGUGACUUCGUAUUAUGUUCCAGUGCAGCACUCCGUAUAGGCAGGUUCAGUCUUAAUAACAGCUCUGCACAUUAUUAAAAAUGUAUAUGUAACGUUAUUUUAUUGCACAUUACAUAAAGAACAUUUCAAUAAACCCUUAUAGGAUCGACCAAAGGAAGUGCCUGUACGCAUAGACUGUAUAAAAUAGCCCGUAAGGGGCGCAAUGUGAACUUAAACAAGCGCGCCCUUCAACGACGGAAAAAUAUAUCGUGUUAGGUAAUGCCAGUCUGUAAGUCAUAAUGAUCCAUGGGAGUCUGUGUACAAAAAUAGACCUAUUUAAUGGUAAUGGAUGUUUUUGCUAUGCAGAAAAACACUUUCUAAUUUUAAUUCAAUUCUUUUAUGUUUGAGAACCAAGAGGAACAACAUAUCACAGAUGUAAAAUGUGCACACAAGUGAGUCCUUCCUUCCUAUUUGAAUUUUGAAGAGCAAGGUUCUUGUUGGGUUUAAAAAAGUUAAAAUCAUGCUUAUGUUUUAAAAAACAAUGUACUUUUGGUUAUAAGCAGCUUGCAGGUAAAUCUAACCAAGUAACUACACUAAUCAGCAUUUGUCUGGCUCACACCUUCUCUAGCUUCUAGAGAAUCAGAAGAGGUCAUAUCAGUCAUUUAGCAUACAGGAGAAAGCUCCUUGUCUCCACACAUGGAGAUCUAUUGUAUCUGUUUUGGGGGAGCCGCCCCCUGUUGGGCCAGACUGGGUUAGAACAAAGGAAAUGCAUAUUUCUGUAGAAUCAACACUACCAUGAUAAACAACCUUAGUCUGUGACCUGAAAUUCAGAGGUGUGUCCUUAUCCUGAGAGACAGGAAUAAAUUUGGGAACAGGAGAAAGAUUCGGGACUUCAAUCUGUGACCACGCAAGGGAAGCAAGUUGAAGUCCGCUGUUUACAGCGUAUUGUUUUGUCAUGUCACAGGACUGUUCUUCUGUAACUCCGCAAGGAGAAACAUGAGAUCAGUCCGCUGUCAGCUGCAGUGUUUUAUGUUUUAUGUUUGAUUGUGUUUUGACUGUCGUGUUCAUCGUGUUGUUUUAUUAAACCUUUUGCUUAACUUUCAAUUCGACCCAAGCCUCUCCUUCCUCCUCAGAAAUCUAAGUAACACGUCUUUUAGUGAUUUCCUUACAAUUGGUGACCUUGACGGUGAUUUUUGGAGGACAAAAGGAAAAAGGCGUAUUGAAAGACUGGAUCAUGGUGACUUGUUGAAUUUUCACAUGGGCCCAGACAACUGAGAGGUGAGCAGAAAACCUGUUUUUAUCAAAACACUGCAGAGCUUAUAUAGGAAACGUUUUAGAUGUGAAAAUUCAGCAGCAUCACUCGUAAGUCUAUUAAAAUCUGUAAAAGUAAUUGAAAAAAGUAAUGCCAAAUUGAGAACUACGGUGAAGGCUAUAAGUCAAGGACAAUGUAGGCCUAUGUGAUUGUGUGUGAUUUGUAUGUGUUAGCUUAAAAAGCCUGAAAGAGGGUCCAUGGAAUUAAGAAAAAGAGUUUGAGCCGCGUGCAUUAGAAAAGUUCGUGAAAAAGACGACCAGGGUGCGUGUGUAAAUUUUAAAAUGUAUGAGAUCGUGAAAAAAGUCGACCUGGUUUAGCUUGUAUAAAUUUUGAGUUUAUGAGUUCGUGAAAAAGUCGACCUAGUAAACCUGUAUACAUUUUUUAAUUUAUGAGUUCUUGAAAAAGCAGACCUUGUUACGCCUGUUAAAUUAAAAAAAAAAAGUCCCUAACAGCCGGCCAAGUUAGACUCUGAUAAAUUUUAUUUAAAAAGACCGUGAGGGCGGCGACAGAAAAUUAGUUUCUGUGAAGGCACGGAAGAAAACAUUAAGACUUUUUUAAAGCCAGUGUAAACAACUGUGAAGGAUAGGACUUGGUAAUGCUUAUCUCGCAGCGACGGCGGAGAUAAAGCGCCACUGGAAGACUCUUCAGUUUUUUCUCGUGACCAUAGUAUGGAAAUAGGAAAAUCAAUUAAAUAGGUAUAGUCGAAUUGUGUGAAAACACUUAGGAAAUUGUACAGAGGCCUACUGUAAAUAUUUUUGAAAUAGAAUUGUGGUGUUGGGAUUUGAGUCCGGCGCUGUGUGUGUUUUGUGAAAAAUUGUAAAUAAGAUUGUUUUGUUUAAAUUGAGAGCGUGCAGCUCAGCGGUGGGGUUUGUGGACGUGUUGAGGUUACAGACGCAGUAUGGUUGUGGAUUAAUUGUGGAUAUUCGUUUGUGUUGAAUUGAUAAGCAUUAAGGAUUCCAUCCUCUGGGUGGCAGAACAAACAGCGGCUGGCUGGUUGGAUUUUUGUGGAAAAGGGUGGAGCAGUGAGAAAUGGAUUAAUCUGUAUGAAUGUCUUUAAAGAGUUGGGCGCCGACCCUGAAGGUAUGAAAGACGUGGAACAUUUUAAAGUUUGAAUGGAGUUUCUCAGUGAAUGUAUGAAAAUGUGCUAAGCAGUUGAAAAUGUAUGAAAAUGUGUUUCGAGGGGGCAAAGAUGCCUGCUAAAAUGUUGAAUAUUGGAAAUGAUUGGUUUCAUUUGAUUACAUUUUUUGUUCAUGUUUAGUGUUGUUCUAUAGGGACAGAAAUGGAGAAUACCUUACAGUUUUAGUCUUGUAUGUCUUGUAACUUUAAAUCCAUUUUCCUGUUCCUUGACUAAGUUUCAGUUAUUCUUCCAACAAACAAACUCUUACAAUAUUGUCUCCUGUGUAAAUGAAGGACUGUCUAGGAGACACAGGGGGGUUUUCACACCUCAUUCAAUGCAAUAGAUGCAGACAGAUUUCCUGAGGGAAUCAUUGUAAUCUUCUCUCUGAACUAUUUGAUAUGUUCCGCCAUGCCAGAAUAUUUUGUAAUUGAAAUAAGGGAUUAAUCAUUAUAUUCUAAGUAGGUUACUGGAUUUUGAGUUUGUUUUUCUUCUGCUACAUUUUAAUAAAUUUUACUCUGAUCCUUCUGUUAUCUUUUUCUUUUCUUUUACUUUUUGGUUUGUUGCUUUUGAGUAGGAUUGUGUCCGAGUUAUUGAUGAAGCCCAUUGCAAGUCAGAGCAUUCCAGGGAGUUCUCUGAAAAGGGGAAAAAUAAUUUGAGGUACUUUAAGCAAUUUGACAUUAGCUAAAAUUGGACCAAAAUGAAUUUAAGAUUCUUAGGGGGUUUUUCAAUGGAUAAUUUGGUAGAUAUAUUUGGCAUUUUUGUGUAUCUUGACUCAAAAUUGGUUUGUUUUUCACAAAAAAUGAUAAAUAACAGGCACAUGGAGAUAAAUUAAUUGUAUUUUUAAGCAUUCUGAUCUUACUGUAGCUAAUCUUCUUCCACUAUUUUUUCUUUUGUUGGUUUUUAUUCUUCUAUGUUGCUGAUGAUGUCUCUGAAAAAAUCAUUGGGUUGAUAGAGUCAAGGUAGUAGUUUUUCCAUUGAUAUUUCUUUAUGGUUUGUUGAUUUUUUUAUUAUUUAUAUUCUGUAGUUUGUAAAUAUUUUGUUAAAAAAUAAAUAAAAAAUAGGGGGAGAUCAGAGGAUUUUUAAGGCGUCUCUGUGCUGGCCACACAGAGGUGCUAUGCAAAUCUUCUUCUCAGAGUAUGGAAUGGAGCACAAAGUGACACGUGACUGACAUUUAUUUGCUCAAAAAAUAGCAAUUUGCAAAAUGUUUAAAGUAAUAGUAAAAGAUCAAACAUGCAGCCCAUUCCCCCAUUGAGAAAGAAAAUUGUGGCGUUUUUAUUUUUUGUGUUUUUGUAAUUGAUGAUCUGUGUCAUGGUGCUGUCUGUUUUCCCUCUCCCCUCUCCCUUGUUUUUUGUCUGUCAUGUGCUGAGUGGGUGUGGCGCUCCUGGCUCUCUCUCCCUCCUCGUCAAGACACCUGUGGCUUCCUGUUCACCUGAUUCACAUCCAGCAAUCACCACUCCUGUUAUAAACCCCAGCCUUCCAACAGUCUCUGCCAGAUCGUCCGUUCACCCAAGUGAUUCCCACUACAGCCCUGGAAGCCCAGUCUGCCUAUCUGAGCCUUGUUCUUCUCUCGAUCCUGCUUCUCACCUGUCUGCCCGCUCUCAGCCCCAGGGGAUAUCCAGCACCUGCAUCACUCAUUUUUUUUGUUCAAUAAACCUCAAUACCUGUUCUGA